Molecule: long non-coding RNA, 514 nt
Organism: Saccostrea echinata
Lineage: Eukaryota; Metazoa; Mollusca; Bivalvia; Ostreida; Ostreidae
Exons: 3
Source: RefSeq, a predicted model, not a curated record
CGAUAAUCUUGUGAUGUAUGUUCAAAAUCUUGUGAUGUAUAUUCGGAAUCUUGUGAUGUUUAUGCAAAAAAUUACAAUGUGGGUAAUAUUCGACACAAUUUCAAUAGGCUUUGUAAAGGCUCUUUUAAUGGUUUCCAAAGUGAAAGUAGGUUCCUUUUGUCAACAGCCGCAUCUAGAACGCUGUGAACGUGGAGGCUGGAUAAAGGAGAUUCUGGGGACUGUAACUCUGUUUUACACUAAUACAGCCGAUAGUCGAAACAUUUGCGCAAAUCUGAGAAUCCUGUUACCAACAACUCAGGUGUAUAAUUAUACAGUAUCUGCUUUUACAUGCGAAUGCCCAUUGGUUAACUUCAUAUGACAUAAUGUUACAACACCUCAACACCUCUGUUGUAUGGAUAUAAAUGUAUGCUGUCUUUCUAAAACAGAUGUAAAGUGUGAGUGGCGUAAAAAUACGAAGUCAGCAAUAAAGAAGAAGACAAAAACCAUGCAUGGAUACAUGAGUUAUGUCCAACAA